RNAcentral lists this ribosomal RNA (1356 nucleotides) under Triticum aestivum (bread wheat). RNAcentral's name for it is "partial small subunit ribosomal RNA". The record is from RNAcentral. Lineage: Eukaryota; Viridiplantae; Streptophyta; Magnoliopsida; Poales; Poaceae.
AUGAACUUUAUGUAUGAACUUGUAUUAAUUUGGUCUAUUCGGUGUUGUGUAAUGAAGAUGAGCUGGCAAUGGAUGUACGAUGACCGAUGCUCUCAUCAGUUCGUUGAGGGCGUGCAUACUUUUCUGCUUGCGGCUGAGGCAAACAAGCGGGCGGAUGGUUUUAUGCCUUGUCCAUGUGCUUGCUGUAAGAAUGGUUGCAAUUACUCUACGUCAAGAACCAUUUACGUCCACCUAUUUGAGUCCGGUUUCAUGCCCCACUAUAAUGUUUGGACCAAGCACGGAGAAAGAGGGGUUAUGAUGGAAGACAAUGAAGAAGAAGAGGACGAUGACAGCUAUCCUAGCCAUGGGUUCCCUGAAUACGAUGAUACAACAAUGGGGGAAGAAGCUGAGCCGGUAAUGCGGGAAGAAGCUGAGCCCGCAAUGCGGGAAGAAGCUGAAGAAGAGGCAUUAGAUGAGCCCGUUGAUGAUCUAGGUCGGGCCAUUGCCGAUGCAAAGAGAAACUGCGCAAGUGAUUUGGAGAAGAAGAGGUUGCAGCGCAUGUUAGAGGAUCACAAAAAAUUGUUGUACCCGAAUUGCGUAGGUGACAAGAAAAAGCUGGGCACCACACUGGAAUUGCUGCAAUGGAAGGCAGAGAAUGGUGUAUCUGACAAGGGAUUUGGAAAGUUGCUGGUAAUGAUAAAGGAUAUGCUUCCAAAGGACAACGAAUUGCCCGAGAGUAUAUACGAAGCAAAGAACGAUGUCUGCCCUCUAGGGUUAGAGGUGCAGAAGAUACAUGCAUGCCCUAAUGAUUGCAUCCUCUACCGCGGUGAGUACGAGGAUUUAAACGCUUGCCCAGUAUGUGGUGCAUUGCGCUAUAAGAUCAGCCGCGAUGAGCAUGGUGAUGUCGAGGGCGAGCGCCCCAGGAAGAAGAUUCCUGCCAAGGUGAUGUGGUAUUCUCCUAUAAUACCACGGUUGAAACGUUUGUUCCAAAACAAAGAGCAUGCCAAGGCGAUGCGAUGGCACAGAGAAGACCGUAAGAAAGACGGAAAGUUGAGAGUACCCGCUGACGGGUCGCAGUGGAGAAAAAUCGAAAGAAAGUACGGGAAGGAGUUUGCAGAUGACGCAAGGAGCGUAUGGUUUGGUCUAAGCGCAGAUGACAUUAAUCCUUUUGGGGAGCAGAGCAGCAACCAUAGCACCUGGCCUAUGACUCUAUGUUUGUAUAACCUUCCUCCUUGGUUGUGCAUGAAGCGGAAGUUCAUUAUGAUGCCAGUGCUCAUCCAAGGCCCUAAACAACCCGGCAACGACAUUGAUGUGUAUCUAAGGCCAUUAGUUGAAGAACUCUUACAACUAUGGAAUGGAACAGGUGUACGUGCAUAG